This is a long non-coding RNA of Xenia sp. Carnegie-2017, 1533 nucleotides long. RefSeq lists it as uncharacterized. The record is from RefSeq and is a predicted model, not a curated record. NCBI's taxonomy places the organism in Eukaryota, Metazoa, Cnidaria, Anthozoa, Malacalcyonacea, Xeniidae. The transcript has 2 exons.
AAGACCAUGAUAGUGUUUGAAGCUCUAGAACGUUUUGGCAAUCAUAGUAUUACAAAGUAAGACCAUGAUACUUAGAUUACUUAGUGAUUAAAUGCACGCGAAAGCCCUGCAGAUUAACUAAAGUCCUUUGGUGCUAAAAUUGAAAUUCAACCGCGACAACUAUUGCGUUUUUAUUUGUUAAUACUUAUUAGUUGAAGAAGUUGCUUUGCGGUAGUUGCCAUGUAGACCGCAGUUGUAUAGAAAAUUUCUUCGUAUCUAUAGUCAAAUUAGAUUCCAGUUUCCAUAUUCCAGUCUUUCUAACCAUACCCAGACAUGCAACUUCAAUAUUUGUUGAGGCUUUGGAUAAUGAUUGUUUACAAAGUUUACAGAAUGAUUGUCCCUUGUCAUUUUUUUUUCAUUUAGAUUAUGCAGAACAACCACAUUGCAUCCGUUACAUUGUAUAAAGACAAAUCUUAGAUGAUUCGUUGCUGUAUGAGUUUGAAGCUUUCUCAAAUGUAUUGGAGAAUCGUUAACAAGAACAACAAAACUUAAAGAUAAGUAGAUAAGUUUGCGUUACGAAAGAAAACUAAUGCGGAAAAAUGGCAGGAUUAUAAAAUAGUUCGUAACUAUUCAACUGUUAUUCAUAGAGUUCAACGCCCUUGACAGAUGGCUUUUAUUAGCUAUCUCUCAUGGCUCAAAGCUUCUUUGUUUCUUCUCAGGCGUUAUUUUUUGCGCGACUUGCAUGUUAUCAAAUUUGUUUCCUUGCUGUUUUUUUCAGAAUCCACUCAUGGAUUAUUAGAUACAUAGAAUAUGCUUUAGCAUGGCGACUUUGCAUUAAGAAAAAUAAAUAUUUAUUCAAGAUGUAUAUCCAGUCGUUGACUGUUGGUGCUCGUAUUGACUGACGUUUCGACAUUCUUUGCAGUAGUCACUUUUAGAAAAGUUGUCGAUUUGCAUGAGUGAUAUAUUUAUUUCAUAGUUGCUAUAGUCUUUGUGUCUCAUUUUAGUUUCACUUUCAUUGUCAAUAAUCAUUGUUGUUUGAUGCAAAAUUGCUGUCUUCUCUUACAUUGCAUGCGAUUUCUGUAAAUGGGACUAAGAUUUCGGACAAUUUUUUACAAAAAACAAUGACUUUACAAAUAGCUACCUGUACUAUUACUUCCUGCUAUAACAGAAAAUGCUCAGGAACAUGAAAUUAAUUUGUUCUACACAUAUUUAUGAUACAACAGGCAACACGCUAGCUCUUGUAAUGAGUGAAUGUCGAUGGACGUCUUCAUUGGAUGGAAAGCUGAAGAAACAGACAAUGACAAAGUCGAAGUUAAGCCAAUUAAAAAUUUUGAAAGUUGUUAAAACGGACCUGGGAGACAUAUUGUCUUUACACUUUUUCUCUCCCAAGCAACCACUACUCAAUUCAGUUUGACGAAAGAUUGUUUCCGAGCACUCACAUUUAUACCAACUUGGGGCAAGGAUGUCUUUCUUACUUGAGCUACAUACUAAAUGAGCAAAAAUUAUACCGACAUAACCAACAAAAUAAAGUAAUCUUGUUAUUUGCUAUACCAA